RNAcentral lists this long non-coding RNA (1654 nucleotides) under Salvia miltiorrhiza (redroot sage). Its description in RNAcentral is "long non-coding RNA (SMIL_LNC005531)". The record is from RNAcentral. Lineage: Eukaryota; Viridiplantae; Streptophyta; Magnoliopsida; Lamiales; Lamiaceae.
UAUUAUUUAGAAUACUCUAGAUUAUCUAGCUAGUGGUGAAUUCUCUAGAAUAUUCAUAGCUUAUUCUCACCUAGAAUAUUCUAGAUAAAUGCAUCACACUUCAAUAGUUUUUACUAUAAUUGGUAAUUGGUAAUUUGGUACUACAUACAUAGAGAGAUCAAUUAAUGAAAAAAAAACUGAUUGUAAAACAGCAAUUUCCCUAAUUCAGUACCUAAAAUUAGGAGAAUAAUUACAUCUGCUCAAAUCCCAAUUGUUUUAACAAAAGAAUGGUUAAUGACAAUCUUGUGUAUAUCUUUCCAAAGUCCAAGCCAAGUAAAUAAUCAUAUACUCCUAACUUCAAGUUAGGAUAAAACUAGAAAAUUAAACCGAGCAAUAUUGCAUGAUAAUUACAAUGAACACCUAGUCAAAUUUCUCCCAAAAUAGUACAGUAAGAUAUUUCUAUGUUUAAGCUCAACUAAGAUUUUUACCAGAAUUCCUCUUUUUUGAGAAAAUUAUUAUAAACAGCUUCAAAAGGAUAAACAAAAAAGAGGUUUUCUGGUAGAGAACUUUCAAGAAAAAGAUAACAAUUUUAUCUACCAAAUCACAAUUUCCCAUUUAAUCUAAAUCUGAAUAACAAGAGGAAAAAAAAAAAUCGCACUCCUUUUAACCAAAAGGGGGAAAAUAUACCAAACUUGUCGAAAAAUUAUCCUUCAAAAAUAAUCGAGAAGCGAAGCAUAAUGUACCUAAAAACUUGCAUUUACUUCCAAAGUAGAAGAAUAAAUUCAGGGAUUUAAUUUAAUUUAUUUUUAUUUUCAAAAAAGGAAAAGGAAAAGAAGAAUUCACCAGGACUCGGCGGGCUUCCGACUCGGUGAGAACGGGUCGGGCGGUGAUCCGUUCAAAAAGAUCGCCGCCGCCGCAAUACUCCAAAACGACAUGCAGGAAGUCUUCGUCCUCGUACACAUCGAAAACUCCGACGACAUUCGGGUGGCCCGAGACGAGUUGCAUGAGCUUCGCCUCGUUUUGGAGGCAGAGGCUGUCGACGGCAUCGUCCUGGAUGAGGCGCUUGUCGAUCGACUUCACGGCGAAGCACUGGCCGGUGACGGCGGCGUGGCACCUCGAAACGACGCCGUAUCUGCCCCUCCCGAUCUGCUCGCCCACUGUGUAGUCUCUCUCUAGCUCUCCACUCAUUACUUUUUUUGUUUGUCUCUAGAAGAAUAGGAUAACAGUACGUACGGUGGGGUAUAUUUAUGAGAGAGAGAGAGUGGUAUGGUGUUGGAAUUUUUGGGGCGGAAUAUUCGGCUAAAUUGUGAAACCAUUUAUAUGAGCACACGUGUCCACGAGUUGACGGAGAGUUGACGGAGUUGCCUUCAGGUGUUUACUUGUUGCGAGUGUUGAAGUCUUGAAGAGAAACCAGGAAAUAGAUUAAUACUCUAAUUUUUUUUUCAGCAUGUGCGAUGUGCGGUGUGACUAUUUUUGGAGUUUUUAAUAUAUAGAAAAUUAAUUCAUAAGAUAAUUUCUGAUAUAUAGAGUAAUAUUAGAAGNCUCUCUCUAGCUCUCCACCUCACUUACUUUUUUUUGUUUGUUCUACUAGAAGAAUAGGAUAACAGUACGUACGGUGGGGUAUAUUUAUGAGAGAGAGAGAGUGGUAUGGUAGUUGGAAUUUUUGGGGCGGAAU